RNAcentral lists this ribosomal RNA (789 nucleotides) under uncultured bacterium. Its description in RNAcentral is "bacterial SSU rRNA". It matches the Rfam family "Bacterial small subunit ribosomal RNA", at positions 8 to 796 of the family's 1533-position model. The record is from RNAcentral.
AGAGUUUGAUCCUGGCUCAGGAUGAACGCUAGCGGCAGUAAUACAUGCAAGUCGUGGGGCACNNNNNUAGCAAUACUGGGCGGCGACCGGCAAACGGGUGCGGAACACGUACGCAACCUUCCUUUAAGUGGGGGAUAGCCCAGGGAAACUUGGAUUAAUACCCCGUACGAUAGUGGUGUGGCAUCACACUAUUAUGAAAGCUACGGCACUUGAAGAUGGGCGUGCGGCUGAUUAGGUAGUUGGCGGGGUAACGGCCCACCAAGCCAACGAUCAGUAACUGGUGUGAGAGCACGACCAGUCACACGGGCACUGAGACACGGGCCCGACUCCUACGGGAGGCAGCAGUAAGGAAUAUUGGUCAAUGGACGCAAGUCUGAACCAGCCAUGCCGCGUGGAGGAUGAAGGCCCUCUGGGUUGUAAACUUCUUUUAUCUGGGAAGAAACCACUCUUUUCUAAGGGUGUUGACGGUACCAGUUGAAUAAGCACCGGCUAACUCCGUGCCAGCAGCCGCGGUAAUACGGAGGGUGCAAGCGUUAUCCGGAUUCACUGGGUUUAAAGGGUGCGUAGGUGGGCAGGUAAGUCAGUGGUGAAAUCUCCGGGCUUAACCCGGAAACUGCCGUUGAUACUAUCUGUCUUGAAUGUAGUGGAGGUGAGCGGAAUAUGUCAUGUAGCGGUGAAAUGCUUAGAUAUGACAUAGAACACCCAUUGCGAAGGCAGCUCGCUACACUAUUAUUGACACUGAGGCACGAAAGCGUGGGGAUCAAACAGGAUUAGAUACCCUAGUAGUCC